CAGCACCUCAAGUGGUCAGGAUGAUUAUUGGGCCUAAAGCAUCCGUAGCCGGCGCUGUAAGUUUUCGGUUAAAUCUGUACGCUCAACGUACAGGCUGCCGGGAAUACUGCAGCGCUAGGGAGUGGGAGAGGUAGACGGUACUCGGUAGGAAGGGGUAAAAUCCUUCGAUCUAUUGAUGACCGCCUGUGGCGAAGGCGGUCUACCAGAACACGUCCGACGGUGAGGGAUGAAAGCUGGGGGAGCAAACCGGAUUAGAUACCCGAGUAGUCC
This 270-nucleotide ribosomal RNA is filed under the name uncultured archaeon. Its description in RNAcentral is "partial 16S ribosomal RNA". It matches the Rfam family "Archaeal small subunit ribosomal RNA", at positions 477 to 747 of the family's 1478-position model. The record is from RNAcentral.